UGAGAUGCUGUUCCUACGAAGAGGGCGGAGUUCCAAUAACUCACGUUAGCAGCGCCGAUUACCUCACGCAGACUGACUGAAAAUGUCAGAAACUGUUCAGCCUUUUAUGUUCAAAACGGAGUCGGACAAUGAUGGAGAGACUCAAGAAGAAGUGACAACAUGUAGAAUGCAACAGGACGUUUCUGAAUGGUCUCCCUUCAAAAACACAUUCUGGCGAAUUAGGAUGGAGUCUUGGAUCUUUAAUUCACUGGUUUAAAUGCCUGACCCACAUUUCCAUCAUGUAGCUGUGUUCAGAUGUGGAGAAUCAAAUAGGGUGAAAGCCAGUUUGUCAGCUGCUUGUCACGCUACACACUUCCCUGGAGAAUCAAAAGACAAUGUAGUCAGACAGUGACUCACCUUUACCCUGUCGUCCUUGGCAGUGGGCGGAGUCUUGGCAUGGGCCACUGAAGGAGUCAUGAAGGGAGCGGAUGGCAGUGUACUGCACCCCCAAGGAUGUGCACACGAGCAGCAG
This is a long non-coding RNA of Megalobrama amblycephala (Wuchang bream), 511 nucleotides long. RefSeq lists it as uncharacterized. The transcript has 3 exons. Lineage: Eukaryota; Metazoa; Chordata; Actinopteri; Cypriniformes; Xenocyprididae. The record is from RefSeq and is a predicted model, not a curated record.